GCGGUUCUGGCCCAACGGUAGAGGCGCUGGUUUCAGGGACCAGAGGAUCGGGGUUCGAAUCCCCGGAGCCGCA
RNAcentral lists this transfer RNA (73 nucleotides) under Actinomadura logoneensis. It matches the Rfam family "tRNA". Rfam says of the family: Transfer RNA (tRNA) molecules are approximately 80 nucleotides in length. Their secondary structure includes four short double-helical elements and three loops (D, anti-codon, and T loops). The record is from Rfam by way of RNAcentral. Lineage: Bacteria; Bacillati; Actinomycetota; Actinomycetes; Streptosporangiales; Thermomonosporaceae.